UCGCACUCAGAGAUUCUGGCUUAAUGGGACUGGAGGUAGAACGGCAGCUUUAAUAUAUAUGUAUUUUUUCUUUGAUAGGAAGCAUUUGAAACCAUUGCCCAAGAAGACUGCUUCCCAAACUUGGCCGCACACAGAAUUACAUCAGGAAACUUUAGAAAUACAGAUGCCUGGCUCCUACUCACAGAAAUUCUAAUCAGGAUGCAGUGUACCAUGUACUCCUGAAAAUAUGUGGCGUCCGCUGGGAUCAUUCAUUGCUGAAACGUGGAAGGAAGGAGUUCAAUGUCAGCGGCAAGUGCAACUGAUGGGAGUACAUGUUCAGCGUCAAGAAUGCUAUAUCCAAGAAUGCCAGUGGCUGCUCACACCGGCUCAUUACACAUGUGUCAGUGUUACGUCCUGCUCGUGGCUGCAUAGAAUUCCACCGCAUGGACGUACCACCGUCUGUUCACCCAGCUGAGGCUGUUUUGAACUAUAAUCGCAGAGGCACUCCGUCCAUCUUCCAGGACCGCAGAGAUAGGAUGGAGUUCUUCCCUUGAGGAGUUUGGAAUUCAGUGGAGAGAGAGAACAAAGU
Molecule: long non-coding RNA, 568 nt
Organism: Mustela lutreola (European mink)
Lineage: Eukaryota; Metazoa; Chordata; Mammalia; Carnivora; Mustelidae
Exons: 4
Source: RefSeq, a predicted model, not a curated record